GAUUACGACAGUACGAAAAUCGGACGAAUUAACCGUAAAAAUAAGAAAAAUGUUUAGUGAAUGUGGUCUCCAAAGGGUUGACUGCCUAUGUAGUGUUUCUGGCGUCCACUCAAUCGGAUCCUCUAACUUCGUGUUUCUAUUGCUCACACGAGGACAACUUGUAAUUUCUCAUCAAGUUCCAUCCAAGUGUACACCGGUCAAUUAAAGAGAGAACUUCCACUAGUUUCCCG
Non-coding RNA from Cinara cedri, 230 nucleotides. NCBI's taxonomy places the organism in Eukaryota, Metazoa, Arthropoda, Insecta, Hemiptera, Aphididae. The record is from the annotation of a GenBank genome assembly.